RNAcentral lists this long non-coding RNA (220 nucleotides) under Mytilus galloprovincialis (Mediterranean mussel). Lineage: Eukaryota; Metazoa; Mollusca; Bivalvia; Mytilida; Mytilidae. The record is from RNAcentral.
ACCACAUCUUCUUUUUUUUUUAUAUAAAUUUGCGUUCAUCAGCUUCAUGUGGACCUUGGUGGAAAGCAAUAGUUUGAAGUUGUCUCAUUCACAAUCGAACCACAUCUACUUUUUAUUCUGUCCAAAACCGGGAAUGAUAGCUGCAAUAGGCAGCGAUUAAAAAACAACAGCAUAAAGCAUCGUAGUGGCCAUCUUAGUCUGUUAACUAAUUUUCACGUUG